GUUCCUGUAGUUGAAUAACAACGAUGAUUUUUCAUGUCAUUGGUCAUAGUUAGAGUCUAUGCGGGAAUU
RNAcentral lists this transfer RNA (69 nucleotides) under Neotoma mexicana (Mexican woodrat). RNAcentral's name for it is "tRNA-Glu". It matches the Rfam family "tRNA". From Rfam's summary of the family: Transfer RNA (tRNA) molecules are approximately 80 nucleotides in length. Their secondary structure includes four short double-helical elements and three loops (D, anti-codon, and T loops). The record is from RNAcentral. Lineage: Eukaryota; Metazoa; Chordata; Mammalia; Rodentia; Cricetidae.